GGACAGGUGGCUGAGCGGCUGAAAGCGUUGGUCUUGAAAACCAAUAUAUGGUAUUCCCAUAUCGGGGGUUCAAAUCCCUCCCUGUCCG
Molecule: transfer RNA, 88 nt
Filed under: Ancoracysta twista
Lineage: Eukaryota; Nebulidia; Nebulidea; Nebulidida; Ancoracystidae
Description: tRNA-Ser
Rfam family: tRNA
About the family: Transfer RNA (tRNA) molecules are approximately 80 nucleotides in length. Their secondary structure includes four short double-helical elements and three loops (D, anti-codon, and T loops). Further hydrogen bonds mediate the characteristic L-shaped molecular structure. tRNAs have two regions of fundamental functional importance: the anti-codon, which is responsible for specific mRNA codon recognition, and the 3' end, to which the tRNAs corresponding amino acid is attached (by aminoacyl-tRNA synthetases). tRNAs cope with the degeneracy of the genetic code in two manners: having more than one tRNA (with a specific anti-codon) for a particular amino acid; and 'wobble' base-pairing, i.e. permitting non-standard base-pairing at the 3rd anti-codon position.
Source: RNAcentral